UCCUACGGGGCGCAGCAGUGGGGAAUAUUGCACAAUGGGGGGAACCCUGAUGCAGCGACGCCGCGUGGGUGAAGGAGCACCUCGGUGCGUAAAGCCCUAUCGGCAGGGAAGAAAAGCGAACAGGUUCGCCUGGACGGUACCUGACUAAGAAGCCCCGGCUAACUACGUGCCAGCAGCCGCGGGAAUACGUAGGGGGCAAGCGUUAUCCGGAUUCACUUGGUGUAAAGGGAGCGUAGACGGCGACGCCAGUCUGGAGUGAACGCCCGUGGCUCAACCCCGGG
This 281-nucleotide ribosomal RNA is filed under the name uncultured bacterium. Its description in RNAcentral is "partial 16S ribosomal RNA". It matches the Rfam family "Bacterial small subunit ribosomal RNA", at positions 337 to 619 of the family's 1533-position model. The record is from RNAcentral.